This 389-nucleotide unclassified non-coding RNA is filed under the name soil metagenome. RNAcentral's name for it is "partial contains 5.8S ribosomal RNA, internal transcribed spacer 2, and large subunit ribosomal RNA". The stretch from base 1 to 122 matches the Rfam family "5.8S ribosomal RNA", at positions 35 to 154 of the family's 154-position model. The record is from RNAcentral.
GAUGAAGAACGUAGCGAAAUGCGAUACUUGGUGUGAAUUGCAGAAUCCCGCGAAUCAUCGAGUUUUUGAACGCAAGUUGCGCCCGAAGCCAUUCGGCCGAGGGCACGUCUGCCUGGGUGUCACGCAUCGUUGCCCCCCCAAACUCCGGUUCGGGCGGGGCGGAAGUUGGCCUCCCGUGCGUGCCUGCGCGCGCGGUUAGCCCAAAAGCGAGUCCUCGGCGAUGAGCGCCACGACAAUCGGUGGUUUUUUUACCCUCGUUCCUCGUCGUGCGUGCCCCGUCGCCCGAACGCGCUCUUGCAACCCUUACGCGUCGCCUCGGUGGCGCUCCCAACGCGACCCCAGGUCAGGCGGGACUACCCGCUGAGUUUAAGCAUAUAAUAAGCGGAGGA